This 464-nucleotide ribosomal RNA is filed under the name Vreelandella stevensii. RNAcentral describes it as "partial 16S ribosomal RNA". It matches the Rfam family "Bacterial small subunit ribosomal RNA", at positions 338 to 795 of the family's 1533-position model. Lineage: Bacteria; Pseudomonadati; Pseudomonadota; Gammaproteobacteria; Oceanospirillales; Halomonadaceae. The record is from RNAcentral.
CCUACGGGUGGCUGCAGUGGGGAAUAUUGGACAAUGGGCGAAAGCCUGAUCCAGCCAUGCCGCGUGUGUGAAGAAGGCCUUCGGGUUGUAAAGCACUUUCAGUGGGGAAGAAAGCCUUGGGGCUAAUACCCUCGAGGAAGGACAUCACCCACAGAAGAAGCACCGGCUAACUCCGUGCCAGCAGCCGCGGUAAUACGGAGGGUGCGAGCGUUAAUCGGAAUUACUGGGCGUAAAGCGCGCGUAGGCGGUCUGAUAAGCCGGUUGUGAAAGCCCCGGGCUCAACCUGGGAACGGCAUCCGGAACUGUCAGGCUAGAGUGCAGGAGAGGAAGGUAGAAUUCCCGGUGUAGCGGUGAAAUGCGUAGAGAUCGGGAGGAAUACCAGUGGCGAAGGCGGCCUUCUGGACUGACACUGACGCUGAGGUGCGAAAGCGUGGGUAGCAAACAGGAUUAAUACCCGGGUAGUC